Molecule: long non-coding RNA, 1437 nt
Filed under: Cyanistes caeruleus (blue tit)
Lineage: Eukaryota; Metazoa; Chordata; Aves; Passeriformes; Paridae
Description: lncRNA (ENSCCEG00000014113.1)
Source: RNAcentral
AUUUUAUUCCUUUAACACUGUCUAGCCUCUGUUCCAGGUAGCCUCUGAAGGAAUCAAUCACAAUUCUCUUUUUAUUAGUAAGGUUUAUUUUGGACUCUGUAGAUAAAUACUAAAAAUGUUACAUCCUCUGCUUUCAACAGAAAGCCUCUACUGAAGAAAUUAAAAGAGAUAAUUUUCCAUUUUGUUUUGUUGUUUGUUUACUUGGGUGUUUUUUUUGGUUUUUUUUCACAAUUUGCCCCAUUAAAAACCCAUAAUUUACUUUGAAAAGAAUCACAAAAUAGGCAAUGGCAACUAAUAAGAAUGAACCAUGUGCUGGAAAGGAAUUAAAUAAUAAUCACUUAAAAAGGAAGAACAAUAUGUCUAAAUUAAAAUGCUGGUCAACAGAACACAAAGCUGACAUUUACAAAGGUUAUGUUUGACUGUAAUAAAAUAAAUGGCAGCUCAUUGUGUACACAGUUGUCAAUUAGCAUUGCAUAUGUCUCUCUUGGAUACAUUUAUUUUUGCCAAUGAUUUCUUAUUCAAGAUGCAAAUAUCUAUUAUUAAUGUUCAGUAAGUACUCCUGACUGAGGGAAAUAACUAAGAAUAAUAGUUGCCUCUUUUUAUUAGCAUUUUCUUUUCAUGGGAAUGUCACUAAAAUGAAAAAAUAAUGUAACCUCUAAAAUCAACAGAAUAUUUUGGAAACAGAAGAAUUAAAUACAGUAGAAAUAGAAGAGUUACAAGAAAAUCCCUCUUACUGUAGAUUCAAGUGAGACAAGAAUUACUCUUUUUAAGGUUAAAUUAACGCAAGUAAAUCUGUUAUUUAUGUACUUUAAACUUCUCAUCUAAAAUAGGGCUGCUAAUGGAGACAUGAUUAAUCUUGAAUAAAAGAUUUUAGCAACUGAAGGCAAAAAUUAUUUGCAAAAACAUUCUUAUUUAUUGCAAUGCAACUGUGUGUCUCCAUAAAAGCCCAAACUUUGUGAGUGAUUUAUCUAUAACGAAAAUUUUAUUUCCUCUUUUGCCGUUUAUCCAGAUAAGAAGCUCUCCAGCUGAAACUCAGAAGGGAUUGAAUAUAUUCUUCUGGCAUUGGCAUGGAGUGCCACUCUGCCUCAAGUGGAAAUGCAAAGGAAGCUGGCUGCAUUACUCAUUAAGCUGGAGCUUUGCUGGAUGCUACACAGACCCUUGGGUGGCACACAAAGGGGCUCAUUGCCAGAAUCACAUAUCAGUGGACCUUUGCUGGACUGUGCUAGAGGCGGAUUGAGGCAACAAAGAGAACUUAAAAAAGAAAAUUAGGAAAAGACAGCUACAUAGAGGAUGAUGGCUGGAGGAAUGCAUAAGGAGUCAACAGUAGCCAAGACAGAUAAUCUUUAUCUCAGAAAAAAUGAGUAAAUGUAAAAGAAAGGAUAUUCAGAUAGAAAAAGGGAAAAUAAAGGCAUUUUCUAGGUUUGUCUCUCUAGUAAC